RNAcentral lists this ribosomal RNA (443 nucleotides) under uncultured Acidovorax sp. RNAcentral's name for it is "bacterial SSU rRNA". It matches the Rfam family "Bacterial small subunit ribosomal RNA", at positions 936 to 1382 of the family's 1533-position model. Lineage: Bacteria; Pseudomonadati; Pseudomonadota; Betaproteobacteria; Burkholderiales; Comamonadaceae. The record is from RNAcentral.
AUGAUGUGGUUAAUUCGAUGCAACGCGAAAACCUUACCACCUUUGACAUGUACGGAAUCCUUUAGAGAUAGAGGAGUGCUCGAAAGAGAGCCGUAACACAGGUGCUGCAUGGCUGUCGUCAGCUCGUGUCGUGAGAUGUUGGGUUAAGUCCCGCAACGAGCGCAACCCUUGUCAUUAGUUGCUACAUUCAGUUGGGCACUCUAAUGAGACUGCCGGUGACAAACCGGAGGAAGGUGGGGAUGACGUCAAGUCCUCAUGGCCCUUAUAGGUGGGGCUACACACGUCAUACAAUGGAUGGUACAAAGGGUCGCCAACCCGCGAGGGGGAGCCAAUCCCAUAAAGCCAUUCGUAGUCCGGAUCGCAGUCUGCAACUCGACUGCGUGAAGUCGGAAUCGCUAGUAAUCGUGGAUCAGAAUGUCACGGUGAAUACGUUCCCGGGUCUU